Molecule: non-coding RNA, 198 nt
Filed under: Paracoccus solventivorans
Lineage: Bacteria; Pseudomonadati; Pseudomonadota; Alphaproteobacteria; Rhodobacterales; Paracoccaceae
Source: RNAcentral
CCUAUCUGCGGCUGUCCAAGUUCCGGCCUCGCCGGAUUGAAAGGGAAUACGGACGGCCCCCGGGCCGAAACCGUAGCUGCCCCCGCAACUGUGCGCGGAGAGCGGCGCCGAACUGAGCCACUGGGGCCGCAGCCCCGGGAAGGCCGGCGCCCGCCUUGACCCGCAAGCCAGGAGACCUGCUUGGACAUCACCCUUUCG